Molecule: ribosomal RNA, 467 nt
Filed under: uncultured bacterium
Lineage: Bacteria
Description: bacterial SSU rRNA
Rfam family: Bacterial small subunit ribosomal RNA
Source: RNAcentral
UCAGUCGACUCCUACGGGAGGCAGCAGUGAGGAAUAUUGGUCAAUGAGGGAACUCUGAACCAGCCAUCCCGCGUGUAGGAAGACGGCCUUAUGGGGUUGUAAACUACUUUUAUACAGGAAGAAACGUACCCUCGUGAGGGUGCCUGACGGUACUGUAGGAAUAAGCACCGGCUAACUCCGUGCCAGCAGCCGCGGUAAUACGGAGGGUGCGAGCGUUAUCCGGAUUUAUUGGGUUUAAAGGUCCGUAGGCGGAUUAAUAAGUCAGUGGUGAAAUCCCAUCGCUUAACGAUGGAACUGCCAUUGAUACUGUUAGUCUUGAAUGAGGGUGCAGUGGUUGGAAUGUGUAGUGUAGCGGUGAAAUGCAUAGAUAUUACACAGAACACCGAUUGCGAAGGCAGAUCACUAACCCUAAAUUGACGCUGAGGGACGAAAGCGUGGGGAGCGAACAGGAUUAGAUACCCUGGUAG